RNAcentral lists this long non-coding RNA (2454 nucleotides) under Vigna radiata. Its description in RNAcentral is "long non-coding RNA (VRAD_LNC009317)". Lineage: Eukaryota; Viridiplantae; Streptophyta; Magnoliopsida; Fabales; Fabaceae. The record is from RNAcentral.
CGUGUGGGGAUAUCUUGUAAGUGUAUCUGAUAAAAGAAGACGAGAUCUGGUACUCCGAGGACCGCACAAGAAGCAUGGUCUUUGGAUCCCACGGAACACGUGCCGGUGACACGUGGGGCUUGUUGACUGAGAAAAGAGAAAGUUGAGGUGUUGAAAAUUCCUUAUCUGCUUUGCUUUUUAAUGCAAUAUUAAUUUAAGUGGAGCCUGUUAAAAAAAAAAAAUCAACCACAAACAUAACAAUAAGUAUUACUCCACUUGAUAACAUUUUUCCCACCAAAGAACUUCUCUUCAUAGGCGUCAGUCAUACCUAAAAAACCUAACCAUGAUAUGGCCUAAAUAUUUAGUCAUGCCUAAUCACGUUAGUUAAUAUAUAAUUAAUUAAACAUUAAAGAAAUUGAAGAUAUUUUAGCAAUGGCCGAUUUUGGUGUUCUUGUUAGGUUUGGUGACCUCAUCGAUUUUCCAAAAGAAGAUUCUUGAAAGAGAAUAUGGCGUCUUCUUAUGAAAAAACAUUCGUAUAUUAGUUGUUUCCCAUCAAUGAACAAACAUGUCACUCCACACUUACACCAAUCACAUAUGUAAUCUCUUCUUAUUUAACUCAUAAUGGCAAAAAAAAAAAAGUAAUGCUGUUUUAUGGCUUACGUAACCAAACAAAUCCACAUGUUCCAAUGUUAUUAUAGUUUGGUUAAAUAACGACAGUUGUUGGAUUAGAAAAUAAGAUUAUUCAUAAAAAUAAAUUUGUAAGCUAUAACUUAUGAAAUUGAAAAUUAUACUUUAAAAUAACAUGUUUAUUAAUAAUAGUUGAAGCACUAUAAAAAUAUUUUGAAAUGAUUCAAUUUGAUUCUAUACACUCAAAUGUAAUCUCUUUACGUGAAGAACCAAGAUUUUAAUUAAAUGAAUGAAACCCGUAGAAGAAAUAUAUAUUUUAAGGAUUUAUUAGUAUUAUAUAACCUUAAACCUCAUGAUAUUUGGGUUGAAUAAGUACCAUAAAAUCGAACCUUAUCUCAAGGAUUUUACCCUAACAUGCAUGUCAUCAAGCUAUUAUACCUCAAAAUUAGUUCAAAUAGAGUUUCGUAACAUCCAAGGUUUUAAAUUAGUAAUUAGAUGAUAUAACUGAAAAGUUGAUUUUAUUAUUUAAGAAUGUUAUGAGUAUAGUUGGAACAAGACUUGAAAAACACAAGUGUGAACUAUAUUAGUUCAAGUCAAUCGUUCACACAGUAGUUGGUAUGAGGGAGUAACAAUCACGGAAACGUUAAUAUUUCCCAACCUACUUUUGCAUUCAAAGAUCCUAUGAACAGCGUUUCAUCAACGAAAUCAUGUAGUUGCCUUUGCCUUCUACGAAUUCUUUUCUCCUGCAUGAUUCUAUGGGAAAAGGGAAUGCAUAUUUUUCUGCUAUCUCAACUGCCACAUAGUGCUCGGCAAAUGGGUGUUGAAGAAUACACUAUUUAAAUUCUAAAAGCUUAUAUUUUAGUCUGACUAACGAAAAAAGUUAUUUAAACUAAUGGUUUAUGUCGGUUUAAUUCGAGUUUAAAGAGCAUUGAACUCUGCUAUACAUUUCACACAUUCUUCUUAAAGUGGCUUACAUUUGAAUAUAAAAAUGACCACAGAUUUUAUUGAUAUCAUGUAAAAAUACAGUUCAAACAAUAAAUAGCAUCAUAAAAUGGACUCUGAGAAAAAAAGACGUAUACGUGAUGGGAGUGUGUAGUGUAUAUAGAAAAAGUCAUGAACAGUAAGGUGUAUGAGAUGCCAAAGCAGGCCACAACUAUAAGCCCAGUCCGAGUAAUUUUGUGGGGUAUCUAUUCAGGGAUGCAUAUAAUGCAAUCUGCAUUGUCAUAUAGUUUUAUUUUUCACUAAAAUUUUGUACUUGUAAGAAUCCCGCAGAUACUUGACUGUUAUCAACGUGAUGUUCUUUCUCCUAUGAAGAGUUUAGUUUCCACCCUUAAAUCAGUAAUAAAUCAUGAAUGUAAACUUUUUAUGCAGACAAAAAGAUUGAUCUACCAAGUUCGAUGGUAUGAAAAGAUAUCAUGGACAAAUGUAUCAGAAGAGAACAAUAAUCAAGAUUAAGAUCGACUUUAUGUAAUCCGAUACAGUAGAAUAUCGAAAUUAACAUUAUGAUGUUAUCAUAGGAGUAAUGUUUAGGCGCAAUGGAAUGUUACCUGACACUGAGAGUAGGCAAUGGAAGACGAUGACGAUGAUGAUGAUGAUGAUGAAGCGUAAAAGUCUUGCAAUGAAUUGAAAACACAAAGCACACGAGGUAGCUGGGUUUUAGAUGACAGGUAAGUGCAUUUAAGGAUAAUAAUAUCUCAGCGCCCCAACAAAUAAAGCUAUGGUUCCAUCCUUUGAAUGCUAACCUUCAACUUGUUGCCGAUUAUAUGGUCCACAUAAAAGACAUGACACGAGACUUUUCAAAGGCCAAUCAACCACUCGAACACAUUAUUUGUUGCAGAUGGAAACUUG